Molecule: ribosomal RNA, 467 nt
Filed under: uncultured bacterium
Lineage: Bacteria
Description: partial 16S ribosomal RNA
Rfam family: Bacterial small subunit ribosomal RNA
Source: RNAcentral
GACGAACGCUGGCGGCGUGCUUAACACAUGCAAGUCGAACGGAAAGGCCCUGCUUGCAGGGUGCUCGAGUGGCGAACGGGUGAGUAACACGUGGGUGAUCUGCCCCUUACUUUGGGAUAAGCCUGGGAAACUGGGUCUAAUACUGGAUAGGACCAUGCUGUAGGUGGUGUGGUGGAAAGAUUAGUUUCGGUAAGGGAUGAGCUCGCGGCCUAUCAGCUUGUUGGUGGGGUAAUGGCCUACCAAGGCGUCGACGGGUAGCCGGCCUGAGGGUGGACGGCCACAUUGGGACUGAGAUACGGCCCAGACUCCUACGGGAGGCAGCAGAGGGGAAUAUUGCACAAUGGGCGCAAGCCUGAUGCAGCGACGCCGCGUGGGGGAUGACGGCCUUCGGGUUGUAAACUCCUUUCAGCCAUGACGAAGCCCUUGUGGUGACGGUAGUGGUAGAAGAAGCACCGGCUAACUACGUG